UACGAAGGGGGCUAGCGUUGUUCGGAAUCACUGGGCGUAAAGCGCACGUAGGCGGCUUUCUAAGUCAGGGGUGAAAUCCUGGAGCUCAACUCCAGAACUGCCUUUGAUACUGAGGAGCUUGAGUCCGGGAGAGGUGAGUGGAACUGCGAGUGUAGAGGUGAAAUUCGUAGAUAUUCGCAAGAACACCAGUGGCGAAGGCGGCUCACUGGCCCGAUACUGACGCUGAGGCACGAAAGCGUGGGGAGCAAACAGG
RNAcentral lists this ribosomal RNA (253 nucleotides) under uncultured bacterium. RNAcentral's name for it is "partial 16S ribosomal RNA". It matches the Rfam family "Bacterial small subunit ribosomal RNA", at positions 524 to 776 of the family's 1533-position model. The record is from RNAcentral.